Molecule: ribosomal RNA, 492 nt
Filed under: uncultured bacterium
Lineage: Bacteria
Description: bacterial SSU rRNA
Rfam family: Bacterial small subunit ribosomal RNA
Source: RNAcentral
GAUGAACGCUGGCGGCGUGCCUAAUACAUGCAAGUCGAGCGAACAGACGAGGAGCUUGCUCCUCUGACGUUAGCGGCGGACGGGUGAGUAACACGUGGAUAACCUACCUAUAAGACUGGGAUAACUUCGGGAAACCGGAGCUAAUACCGGAUAAUAUAUUGAACCGCAUGGUUCAAUAGUGAAAGACGGUUUUGCUGUCACUUAUAGAUGGAUCCGCGCCGCAUUAGCUAGUUGGUAAGGUAACGGCUUACCAAGGCAACGAUGCGUAGCCGACCUGAGAGGGUGAUCGGCCACACUGGAACUGAGACACGGUCCAGACUCCUACGGGAGGCAGCAGUAGGGAAUCUUCCGCAAUGGGCAAAGCCUGACGGAGCAACGCCGCGUGAGUGAUGAAGGUCUUCGGAUCGUAAAACUCUGUUAAUUAGGGAAGAACAAAUGUGUAAGUAACUAUAGCACGUCUUGACGGUACCUAAUCAGAAAGCCACGGCUAAC